Molecule: ribosomal RNA, 500 nt
Filed under: uncultured bacterium
Lineage: Bacteria
Description: partial 16S ribosomal RNA
Rfam family: Bacterial small subunit ribosomal RNA
Source: RNAcentral
AUUGAACGCUGGCGGCAUGCUUUACACAUGCAAGUCGAACGGUAACAGGGAGCUUGCUCCGCUGACGAGUGGCGAACGGGUGAGUAAUAUAUCGGAACGUACCCAGAAGUGGGGGAUAACGUAGCGAAAGUUACGCUAAUACCGCAUACGAUCCACGGAUGAAAGUAGGGGACCUUCGGGCCUUAUGCUUUUGGAGCGGCCGAUAUCUGAUUAGCUAGUUGGUGAGGUAAAGGCUCACCAAGGCGACGAUCAGUAGCUGGUCAGAGAGGACGACCAGCCACACUGGAACUGAGACACGGUCCAGACUCCUACGGGAGGCAGCAGUGGGGAAUUUUGGACAAUGGGCGCAAGCCUGAUCCAGCAAUGCCGCGUGAGUGAAGAAGGCCUUCGGGUUGUAAAGCUCUUUUGUCAGGGAAGAAACGGCUGUGGCUAAUAUCCACGGCUAAUGACGGUACCUGAAGAAUAAGCACCGGCUAACUACGUGCCAGCCGCCGCGGUAA